AACGACGUAAAUAAAUGGUAGUUCAAUGUGACAUAUCAUGCAACAACGAUAUCGUGCCUGCACGUCGAAGACUGAAUUGUUCGAUUUUCGAAUCGGACAAAGCUAGAGCCGUGAUACAUAACCUAUACACGCAGGAUAGUGCAAUGCUCCUGCGGCAUUGGUUAUGCGAUGGUGCCAUGCUCGCCGGCCGCAACUCUCUCGGCCGUCCAGUUCGUCGACUCAAAAGUUCCAACCAAGGGCAAACUAUGAGUAAUCGCGAUCCACGUGGCAACGGGAGCCUGGUUAUGCAACCGUUUCACCGUACGUACCACACGAAGCGUCAUUUGAUGAGAAUCGGUUACUUUCGUUGGGCUGCAAGUAACUUCUCGCGAGCUUAAAUCCGAUGCUCG
This 389-nucleotide long non-coding RNA is filed under the name Neodiprion pinetum (white pine sawfly). RNAcentral describes it as "uncharacterized LOC124218860". Lineage: Eukaryota; Metazoa; Arthropoda; Insecta; Hymenoptera; Diprionidae. The record is from RNAcentral.